CGCCGCACAUGGCAAACCCAUUGAAAGAUGGGGACGCAAAGCUAAAGGGGCUACCGCCGGGAUAACAGGCCAUGCCAGCCAGCUGCCGGA
RNAcentral lists this non-coding RNA (90 nucleotides) under Cohnella sp. RNAcentral's name for it is "c-di-GMP sequence". It matches the Rfam family "c-di-GMP-I riboswitch aptamer". From Rfam's summary of the family: GEMM was predicted in a large-scale screen for bacterial structured RNA regulatory elements. Genes associated with GEMM are involved in a diverse array of functions, including chemotaxis regulation, signal transduction, secretion and chitin. The record is from RNAcentral. Lineage: Bacteria; Bacillati; Bacillota; Bacilli; Caryophanales; Paenibacillaceae.